AAGUCGCUGGCGCUAAACCAACCAGACUCCAUUUAAAUAAUCACUGCUUUUAGCGUGCACAGAGCCAACAUAUGUUCACAUGUAAAUCAGUAAACUAUGUGUUUAUUUCAACCAACCCUAGAGUGGUGAUGGUUGGAAACUUAGAAAAGCACGACC
Molecule: long non-coding RNA, 156 nt
Organism: Etheostoma spectabile (orangethroat darter)
Lineage: Eukaryota; Metazoa; Chordata; Actinopteri; Perciformes; Percidae
Exons: 3
Source: RefSeq, a predicted model, not a curated record